GGAAAUCUUCGCGUUGGAAAAGGGAAUUUUUAUGAGACUGCAAAGAACAUAAAAUGAAUAGACAAUCCAACCAACCAAAGACCGGGGGCAGCAGCAGGCCAGCAAGACGGCAUCUUCUCCUUCCCAGCCUAGAAGCCCUGUGAAAUCGAGGAUCUUCCCCCUAAAACACAUACACACAAGAUAUGUGCAAUCAAGCUGCCACCGCUUGGUAAAAAGCUCAUGGUGCCUAACCAAAAAGGAUCAGGAACAGAUCCUUGAAUCAGCUGUCACUUCUAUAGAAUGGGAUUUUUUUUCCUUCCUCCUUAACCUGCGCUGGAAAUUGCCGUUGGCUUUAUACAUCUCUAUAGAGAGAGGCUAAAGAGUCUUGCGUGAGAAAGAAGCAAUUUACAAUGCAAAUAGAGGCCUGUGAAGGGACGGAUGCUGCUGCUCACUCGUAACAGCUUGCUGCACCUUAAUAGCUGGUUUUAUUUUCUGAUAUUAAUAGAUGAAUUGUUGGCUAACGCUGCCGGAGAUUACUUGCUGAAAGGAAAAAAAAAAGUUCGGAAUAAACUCUGAAGGCAACAGAUCUCGUUUGGAUGUUUUAGCCGCGCACACACACAAACAGAAACCAGGUCAUAUUUACAUAAAAGGAGGAAUCUUAAGCGCGGCAAGUAUCCUGGACGACCACUCUUCGGUACUGCCAGAAAGGAUCAGGACCUGGAGUCUGGCAAGAGGAAGA
Molecule: long non-coding RNA, 718 nt
Filed under: Pan troglodytes (chimpanzee)
Lineage: Eukaryota; Metazoa; Chordata; Mammalia; Primates; Hominidae
Description: lincRNA
Source: RNAcentral